RNAcentral lists this ribosomal RNA (433 nucleotides) under uncultured bacterium. Its description in RNAcentral is "partial 16S ribosomal RNA". It matches the Rfam family "Bacterial small subunit ribosomal RNA", at positions 29 to 507 of the family's 1533-position model. The record is from RNAcentral.
AACGAACGCUGGCGGCAUGCCUAACACAUGCAAGUCGAACGAGACCUUCGGGUCUAGUGGCGCACGGGUGUGUAACGCGUGGGAACCUGCCCUUAGGUUCGGAAUAACUCCCCGAAAGGGGUGCUAAUACCGGAUAAUGUCUUCGGGCCAAAGAUUUAUCGCCUUUGGAUGGGCCCGCGUUGGAUUAGCUAGUUGGUAGGGUAAAAGCCUACCAAGGCGACGAUCCAUAGCUGGUCUGAGAGGAUGAUCAGCCACACUGGGACUGAGACACGGCCCAGACUCCUACGGGAGGCAGCAGUGGGGAAUAUUGGACAAUGGGCGAAAGCCUGAUCCAGCAAUGCCGCGUGAGUGAUGAAGGCCUUAGGGUUGUAAAGCUCUUUUACCCGGGAUGAUAAUGACAGUACCGGGAGAAUAAGCUCCGGCUAACUCCGUG